RNAcentral lists this long non-coding RNA (1715 nucleotides) under Canis lupus familiaris (dog). RNAcentral describes it as "lncRNA (ENSCAFG00845001707.1)". The record is from RNAcentral. Lineage: Eukaryota; Metazoa; Chordata; Mammalia; Carnivora; Canidae.
AUGUCCUGGUCAGUGUUUUCUGGCCCUCUGAUGCUGGGAUUGACCUCAUCUCUCUUCCCACCUACAGUGAGGACAUUUCAGCUCCUCAGGGUCUGGGAGGGAAGCAUUUCUGGUAUUAGGUACCCAGGUGACAACAAGAUAGAGUUCUGGCUGGUGGCUACAAGGAGUGUCCAAAGUAAUGUGUACAGGAGAGGUGCCCAGAGUUCCCAUGAUCUGAAGGUAGCAGACCAGCAUGGAACAGAUGUGACCAUAGGACAGCAGAAUCUGGAUGUGGAGCUGAUAGAAGAUCCUAAACUUGAGCAAGACUGGGCCAGAGAGGACAGCAUCCAAGCCAUGGUGUGGACAUAUCUGAAUGCUUUGUGAGAUUUUGGGUGUUCAUGUACAUUUCAUUCUUUUUUCAACCCUUGACAUGUAUCCUCUGAAUAUUAAUGAGAAGCUAAUACAUACCUUGUCUAUUAGUGAGCCAUCAGGAGAUUUGGUUUCUCUUUUUCAAAAUAACUCUUAACUCUCAACUUUUUCUUUUUGGUUGGGAGCAUGAACAGAAGCUUCCUACCUGAAGAGACAAUUUGUAUAUCUCUCACUGAGAGACUUGGAAAACACCCAAGUUUGAUCAUGGCAACAAGACAAGAUUUUGGGAAAGACAAUGACAAUAAUGACAUAAAGGAAUCCCUGUUGACACAGGUGACUGCUUUGUAACUUGCCUGAAGAUACUGUGUGUGGUCACUUACUUAAUAAGGAGCUGGGAGUAGAGAUUGUGUUUGUCAAGCUCAUGAAUUGAGAACAAAGCCUCAGAAUUUUUUGUUGUUGCCUUUGGUUUUGUUUUACUUUCUCUUUUGAAAUGAUUUCUGAUUUAUAGAGAAGUUAUAAGAAUAGUACGAAGAAUUCCACGGAUGAGCCAGAUUUCCCAAAUUAACACUUCACUGCAUUUGCUUUCUUGCUUUCCUUUCCCUCAUCUCAUCUCUGUAGCUCUAUGUCUUUCUAUCUGUCUCCAUCUCUCUCUAUCUCUCUAUCUAUACACAUACACAGGUCCAUGGCAAACAGUUCAUUUUACCAAGGUUGUUUAUUGACUGGGGGAGGUAGUAUGAUGAGGGACGGUAGACACUGAAGAAGACUGGAGGAAGUUAUGGGAGGGAAGGAUGCCCCUUGAAAUAUACUGCUUUGCCUCAUUAAUUACAAAUAUGUGUUCCUAUUGAGGGAAAUUACUUGAUUUAUUGUUUGCCAUGAAGUUUAAGAUUUCUCAGUUAAAGCAUGUUUGUUUUCAUUGGAAUGGGAAUACUGUGGCAGUUUUGGGAUUGAAGGCUGUUGAUUCUUUUGAAUAUAUCUAAAAGGGAGGAAUGUAGGGAUUUCAUUUUGGGUUUUACUUUAAUAAGCUCAAUCCUGUAGGUAUGCAUCCUUUUGGGCUUUUAUGAGAAGUUUACAGAUGCUCCUCUGAGAAGGAGGCUGAGCAUGUAAGGAGGUAAGGAAUGGAGAUAAUGUACAAUAUGCAGUGAUACCUCUUUUAUGACAGGCCAGUCUAGAUUAUACAACCAUAAAAAUAAAGACAAAGUUGAGAUAUGACAGUUUUCUGAAUACAUUUUUGUACUGAGUGUAAAGCUUAAUUACUUUUAGCUCGACACUUUAAGCCUUAACAAAGAGUACAUGGAAAACAUGAUUAUUAUGAUUUUAAACAUGAAAAAUCAUCUUUCUAAGUGUAUUUACUCUUCUGUGUGCUUUGG